Molecule: long non-coding RNA, 177 nt
Filed under: Macaca nemestrina (pig-tailed macaque)
Lineage: Eukaryota; Metazoa; Chordata; Mammalia; Primates; Cercopithecidae
Description: lncRNA (ENSMNEG00000045967.1)
Source: RNAcentral
GUUAUUUAUAACCACCUCUGCUAGACUCGGUCUAGGUCAGACGAGAGAGUGUUGAAGACCAAGGGAACCUGUAAGACUCGGCUGCUGCUGUGGGAAAACUGGAAAGAUUGAAUGUCCUUUGGAGUUCACAGAGGUUUGGCAGUGGGAGGAGAAAAACAAAACGAAGCAUAGUGGGAG